This 413-nucleotide long non-coding RNA is filed under the name Pongo abelii (Sumatran orangutan). Its description in RNAcentral is "lincRNA". Lineage: Eukaryota; Metazoa; Chordata; Mammalia; Primates; Hominidae. The record is from RNAcentral.
GCUAGCACACCAACACCAUCCCCCCAGAUGCUUCAGUUGUUGGCUUCUAAUGGCUUACUAUUUCCAUUUCGAUGGAGAACUGCCAUCUCAGGAAUCACCUCACCCUGGAGUUUAUUCCCCUCACCCACAGGGUGGCUGGCAGCCAACAGCUGACUCGUACAGAGAGUGGCACAAUGAAGAUUUGAACCCACGUAUGUCUCACUGGACAUAUGCCCAGGAACUGAUUGGGAAAGCGAGGCCCAGGGGUGCGAACCAGUCCAAUAUUAGCAGCAGAGCUCUUCCCUAGACCCGUCUUGAAGCCACUGCCCCAUCAUUUCCUCCAGGUGGCUGGUGGAUACUGUUUAUCUGGUGCUUACCAUGCACUAGGUAACACUGUAAGUGAUUUUCAUUAAAUUUAAUCUCAUACAAUCUUA